AAAUACUCAAUCACCUAGCAUACUUAGAAUUCUACACUACUCUAACCCAUCCUCAGAAACCUAUUCACUACUCAGACAUCAUAACAGUAAGCAUAAACGUUGAACAGGUUGAAAACAUGAUAACAACAGUGUAACAGCAGGAUGAUAAUAGAAUGAACAACAGUAAACGAAAUCAAGAACAAAAGCUGAAUACUGAAUACUGAAUAGAUAAAGAGAAAUCCGGAUUACAAAAGGUCUAGAACACAAGGUCUGCGGAAUAAAACUAGAUAAAAACUUCUUGUUUGCGAAAAUGUGAAGUACAUGCUACUUAUAGCCAAAUAUUCUGAAACCCUAAUACUCAAAACGACGAAGUAUUGGGACGGAUUAAGAACUGUACUCGACCCAUGUGGUCGAGUGGGAGGUCGAGUGAGUAGCUGGAGUGACGUGAUCGAGUGACGUGAUCGAGUGGUUGUCAGAAGAUGGAGAGGAAGUCACUCGACCUGGGGGUCGAGUGAUGUGGUCGAGUGGUUUUGUCUUCUACUUGGCCUGGGGGUCGAGUGGUCUCUUGAGAUCUUGAAGCUCCUACUCGACCUCUGGGUCGAGUGGUUUGUCAUGAUCAGGUCCGCUUCUUCCAGUUAGCUCGUGGACAGCUCCAAAUCACCUGAAAACAACACAAAUAUGCAACAUGCAUGCAAAACUAUCCUAAACAUGCAAAGUGAUGACAAAUGAUGUGAAUGGUAUAAAACAGUGAUAAUAUAAUGCUAAAAUGAUGAAAAAUGGAUGCUCAAAACAUGCAAAAUACACACUUAUCAUCCACCAACAAGCAAUAUACAUCAUGAUCAACUUCUUGAAUUAUAGAUUCAAUAACUUCCUCCGCAAAGCAAUGUACGAUGUCUUUCUGAAUUUUGGGACAUACCAUCUGAUUGUUUUUUGGAGCAUUCUCCAACACAACUUUGCUUAUAACCUCAUUCUGCCCUACUGUAUAUUUCACAAGCUCUAAGAAA
Molecule: small RNA, 983 nt
Filed under: Arabidopsis thaliana (thale cress)
Lineage: Eukaryota; Viridiplantae; Streptophyta; Magnoliopsida; Brassicales; Brassicaceae
Description: ATSL041150
Source: RNAcentral